This is a non-coding RNA of Hyaloperonospora arabidopsidis Emoy2, 88 nucleotides long. Lineage: Eukaryota; Oomycota; Peronosporomycetes; Peronosporales; Peronosporaceae. The record is from Rfam.
UGUCGAUGAUGUAUCAAAAUAUUUGCUACUCUUGAUAUACUUUCGAGUAUUGUGACGACAUAUUAUUAUCACCAAGAUCACUGAGACG